RNAcentral lists this small nucleolar RNA (107 nucleotides) under Olea europaea subsp. europaea. RNAcentral's name for it is "Plant small nucleolar RNA R71". It matches the Rfam family "Plant small nucleolar RNA R71". Rfam says of the family: R71 is a member of the C/D box family of snoRNAs containing the C (UGAUGA) and D (CUGA) box motifs. Multiple nearly identical copies of this snoRNA have been identified in Arabidopsis, and it is thought to function as a 2'-O-ribose methylation guide for 18S ribosomal RNA. The record is from Rfam by way of RNAcentral. Lineage: Eukaryota; Viridiplantae; Streptophyta; Magnoliopsida; Lamiales; Oleaceae.
UAACCAUGGCGAGGGCAAAUGGCUUACAAUUCCUUGUAUCUUUCUCAUGCUUGGUGUAAGGUCUCGCUAUCCUUUUGGGCAAAUGAAGAAAUUUGUUUCUUCAAACC